This is a long non-coding RNA of Papaver somniferum (opium poppy), 264 nucleotides long. RefSeq lists it as uncharacterized. The transcript has 2 exons. Lineage: Eukaryota; Viridiplantae; Streptophyta; Magnoliopsida; Ranunculales; Papaveraceae. The record is from RefSeq and is a predicted model, not a curated record.
AGAUCCGAAGCUUUAGCAAUCUUCUUAAUCUUCUUGGUCUUUGGUUGUAGCUAUCAAAGCCAGCACUUGUACCAGUCAAAGCUAACACUGAUACCCCAGGAACAUGGUUCCUUACAGGCGAAAGGUUGGGAUAGCUGGGCCUGAAGAAGUGCAGGGAAAAAAUAUUGAGAGUUUGAGACUACAGAUAGAGUAUGAUGAUAAACUACUGAAACUGAUAGAUUCGAAUGUCAUUCCCGCUGUUAAGCAAAACUAAGAACAAAAGUU